Molecule: transfer RNA, 75 nt
Filed under: Deltaproteobacteria bacterium CG11_big_fil_rev_8_21_14_0_20_47_16
Lineage: Bacteria; Deltaproteobacteria
Description: tRNA-Arg
Rfam family: tRNA
About the family: Transfer RNA (tRNA) molecules are approximately 80 nucleotides in length. Their secondary structure includes four short double-helical elements and three loops (D, anti-codon, and T loops).
Source: RNAcentral
GCCCCCGUAGCUCAACGGAUAGAGCAAGGCACUCCUAAGGCCGAGAUAGGUGUUCAAUUCACCUCGGGGGCACAA